RNAcentral lists this ribosomal RNA (253 nucleotides) under uncultured bacterium. RNAcentral's name for it is "partial 16S ribosomal RNA". It matches the Rfam family "Bacterial small subunit ribosomal RNA", at positions 524 to 776 of the family's 1533-position model. The record is from RNAcentral.
UACAGAGGUCUCAAGCGUUGUUCGGAUUCAUUGGGCGUAAAGGGUGCGUAGGCGGCGCGGUAAGUCGGGUGUGAAAUCUCGGGGCUUAACUCCGAAACUGCAUUCGAUACUGCCGUGCUUGAGGACUGGAGAGGAGACUGGAAUUUACGGUGUAGCGGUGAAAUGCGUAGAUAUCGUGAGGAAGACCAGUGGCGAAGGCGGAUCUCUGGACAGUUCCUGACGCUGAGGCGCGAAGGCCAGGGGAGCAAACGGG